Molecule: ribosomal RNA, 465 nt
Filed under: uncultured bacterium
Lineage: Bacteria
Description: partial 16S ribosomal RNA
Rfam family: Bacterial small subunit ribosomal RNA
Source: RNAcentral
GACGAACGCUGGCGGCGUGCUUAACACAUGCAAGUCGAACGGUAAGGCCCCUUUGGGGGUACUCGAGUGGCGAACGGGUGAGUAACACGUGAGUAACCUGCCCUUGACUUCGGGAUAACUUCAGGAAACUGGGGCUAAUACCGGAUAGGAAUCCUUGCUGCAUGGUGGGGGUUGGAAAGCUUCGGCGGUUUUGGAUGGACUCGCGGCUUAUCAGCUUGUUGGUGGGGUAGUGGCUUACCAAGGCUUUGACGGGUAGCCGGCCUGAGAGGGCGACCGGCCACAUUGGGACUGAGAUACGGCCCAGACUCCUACGGGAGGCAGCAGUGGGGAAUAUUGCACAAUGGGCGGAAGCCUGAUGCAGCAACGCCGCGUGCGGGAUGACGGCCUUCGGGUUGUAAACCGCUUUCAGCAGGGGCGAAGCUUGUGGUGACGGUACCUGCAGAAGAAGCACCGGCUAACUACGUG